CCCUUAGAUGUCCUGGGCCGCACGCGCGCUACACUGAUGCAUGCAACGAGUUUAUAACCUUGGCCUGAAAGGUCUGGGUAAUCUUUUGAACGUGCAUCGUGAUAGGGAUAGAUUAUUGCAAUUGUUAAUCUUGAACGAGGAAUUCCUAGUAAACGCGAGUCAUCAGCUCGCAUUGAUUAUGUCCCUGCCCUUUGUACACACCGCCCGUCGCACCUACCGAUUGAAUGGUUCGGUGAAGAUCUCGGACUUCGAUAUUUAUUCUUUAUUGAGUUUAUAUUGUGGGAAGUUAUCUAAACCUCAUCAUUUAGAGGAAGGUGAAGUCGUAACA
RNAcentral lists this ribosomal RNA (328 nucleotides) under uncultured eukaryote. Its description in RNAcentral is "partial 18S ribosomal RNA". It matches the Rfam family "Eukaryotic small subunit ribosomal RNA", at positions 1470 to 1796 of the family's 1831-position model. The record is from RNAcentral.